This 164-nucleotide ribosomal RNA is filed under the name Ceratobasidium sp. AG-A. Its description in RNAcentral is "5.8S ribosomal RNA". It matches the Rfam family "5.8S ribosomal RNA". Rfam says of the family: 5.8S ribosomal RNA (5.8S rRNA) is a component of the large subunit of the eukaryotic ribosome. The record is from RNAcentral. Lineage: Eukaryota; Fungi; Basidiomycota; Agaricomycetes; Cantharellales; Ceratobasidiaceae.
ACUAAGUUUCAACAACGGAUCUCUUGGCUCUCGCAUCGAUGAACAACGCAGCGAAACGCGAUAAGUAACUGUGAAUUGCAGAAUUCAGUGAAUCAUCGAAUCUUUGAACGCACCUUGCGCUCCUUGGUAUUCCUUGGAGCAUGCCUGUUUGAGUAUCAUGAAAU